AACGCGAAGAACCUUACCUGGGCUCGAAGCGCAGUGGACCGGGGUAGAAAUAUCCCUUCCUCGCAAGAGGCUGCUGCGGAGGUGCUGCAUGGCUGUCGUCAGCUCGUGUCGUGAGAUGUUGGGUUAAGUCCCGCAACGAGCGCAACCCUUAUCCCUAGUUGCCAUCGGGUCAAGCCGGGCACUCUAGUGAAACCGCCUGGGAUAACCAGGAGGAAGGUGGGGAUGACGUCAAGUCCUCAUGGCCUUUAUGUCCAGGGCUACACACGUGCUACAAUGGUCGGUACAAACCGUCGCAAACUCGUGAGAGGGAGCUAAUCGGAAAAAGCCGGCCUCAGUUCGGAUUGGAGUCUGCAACUCGACUCCAUGAAGCUGGAAUCGCUAGUAAUCGCGGAUCAGAACGCCGCGGUGAAUACGUUCCCGGGCCUUGUACACACCGCUCGCGA
This 443-nucleotide ribosomal RNA is filed under the name uncultured bacterium. RNAcentral describes it as "bacterial SSU rRNA". It matches the Rfam family "Bacterial small subunit ribosomal RNA", at positions 958 to 1399 of the family's 1533-position model. The record is from RNAcentral.